UCUCCAAGAUGGACACAGGUUAAGAAUCCUCCCGGGGUUCUUCUUUUGUUUUCACAGAAGAUGAGAACCUAUGGAUUGCUUAUUGACCAAAAUGAUUUCAUGGGACAAGACCUCCUGAAAGAUUGCUGGAAACAUCCCCAAAUAUCACUUCACCCAACUGCUGACUGAGAUGAACCUAGUAUACAGAAUACCCCAUGAAAGACCUGAUUUAUAGCACCCCCAAACAGCAUGAAGAGGACUUUUCAUGACAAUGAGAUACAUCUACUCCUAGCAGC
Myodes glareolus (Bank vole) is the source of this 275-nucleotide non-coding RNA. The record is from RefSeq and is a predicted model, not a curated record. Lineage: Eukaryota; Metazoa; Chordata; Mammalia; Rodentia; Cricetidae.